UCUGUCUCAUUCUGAAGAGAAAAAGGAUGUUAAAUGUGGUUUACCGUUUCUUCUUUCUCCUCAACCUCUUAACCAGUCUGUCAGACUGUGUCCAGAUUGAGCAGCCAUCAAACCUGAUAGUAAAUCUCACAGAUAAUGUAAAAAUCUCCUGUAAACAUGAUGGCAGCAAUUUCGAUAUUAUGCUUUGGUAUCAGCAGAGUAGACAGAGCACAGCUUUGGCUUUGAUCAGUUAUAACUAUGGCAAAGGCACACCGAACUAUGAGACUGGAUACACAACACGGUUCACACACAACAGGAUUGACACUGUAACCGGAGAUCUGACCAUCUCUAAUCUCAGCCUGUCAGAUUCUGCUGUGUAUUACUGUGCUGCCAGACUACACAGUGCUUCUGUUUCAUCACCUGCCUGACUUAAAACACAAAAAGCAUACAGGAAGUUCACGCCGCAGCACUUCAGAUUAG
Non-coding RNA from Hemibagrus wyckioides, 459 nucleotides. The record is from the annotation of a RefSeq genome assembly. NCBI's taxonomy places the organism in Eukaryota, Metazoa, Chordata, Actinopteri, Siluriformes, Bagridae.